Molecule: long non-coding RNA, 945 nt
Filed under: Malus domestica (apple)
Lineage: Eukaryota; Viridiplantae; Streptophyta; Magnoliopsida; Rosales; Rosaceae
Description: long non-coding RNA (MDOM_LNC003181)
Source: RNAcentral
CACUCCAUUUUACCCUCAUGCUUUGCAUCAUCACUUCACUUUCACCUUUGAAUCAUUUCAAACACCACUCAUUGCACUCAAUUGCUACACCAUUCCUUGUUCCCUCCAUCAUUUCAGAUUCAUGCAUCAUUACAUUGAAUCAUUGCACUCAAUUGCUACACCAUUCCUUGUUCCCUCCAUUAUUUCAGAUUUCAUGCAUCAUUACAUUGAAUCAUGGCACUCAAUUGCUACACCAUUCCUUGUUCCCUCCAUCAUUUCAGAUUUCAUGCAUCAUUGCACUCAAUUGCUACACCACUCCAUGUUCCUCUCCAUUGCCAUGCACUUCCUCUAUAAAAGGAAAUGUGUGUAACAUAAAUUGAUUCAUACUUUGUUAGAUCAUUCACUCCCAUUUCAACACAACCUUCAUCCAAACACAUCCAUUCAUCUUCACAUCUAUUCCUCCAUACAAACAAACCUUCAAACACUCACCAACACCUUGUGCCGUAGCAAAGGAAGGGAAGGAAAGUGCUUGGACGUGCUUGCUGUUCAACUUGGAUCGUUGGAGCGUUUAGGUGUUUUCUUUAUUUUGUUUCUAAUGUUUAAAUUCAUUUCCUUUCAUUUUGUUGUAAAUAUGAGUGGCUAAACCCCUCUUGGCUAGGAGUGAUUUCAAAGCCAUGAUUAUGUGUGCAAUAUAAUUUGAUAAAUUCCAGUUAUGAACUCUUGAAUCGUGAAUGCAAUUGGCUUAAUUAUUUGAUUGAUAACUUAUUUGUAUUUGUUAAUUAAGGGUCGACACUUAAUUGGCAUGCAUAAAUCCGUUGCUAGAAUAUAAGGAAGUUUCACAUAAUUGUUACAAACUUAUAUUCACAUGUAGUGAAGGUUGCUUAUAAACGAUCGCGUUAAGUUCAAUUCCUUGCAUGAGUGACAUGAUGUCAUAGUUGCAAGUGCUUUGUCAAUGCUUAUGAUUUU